This 2450-nucleotide long non-coding RNA is filed under the name Sorghum bicolor (sorghum). RNAcentral describes it as "long non-coding RNA (SBIC_LNC013601)". The record is from RNAcentral. Lineage: Eukaryota; Viridiplantae; Streptophyta; Magnoliopsida; Poales; Poaceae.
CACAAAGCUUUGUUGUCUAUUUGAGCUCCAUAGAAUUCAAGGAUCAAAGAAGACUAGCAGACGGAGGACAUCCUAAUCGCUGUCAGGGUGCUGCCAACAUUCAAAUACACCUCCGCCACCUGCUAGCUACACCAGAAGAAAUUACGUCAAAAUCCAGCUUGGGGGAGAGCACCCCCAUUUAUCCAGCUAAGUGUUUCUAUUCGCGUUUAUACUUUACUCAAAUAAUAAAAAGAUGCAUAAUCAUAAAAACCCAAAUAAAUAUUUUGUGCUUAUAUAUAUCUUUGCUUAGUUUGCUAAAUAAAUAAAUAAAUAAAGUUUGCUAUGAACCCUCGUGAUAAGCUCUCAUAUGGAAAUGAUGAAUAGUUGCUCUGCCAUGACUAGUUCUCAAAAUUGAAAUCUCUCUCAAGUUUAGGCAUGACUGUUAUUAAUUAAGAUUUGCUCUAAACCUGAACUUGUGGGAAGAGUACCUGAUCUAAAGUCUAAGUCGUUAACGGAUAUGAUAUGGGAAGGUUGAGCUGUUGUUUAUCUGUUCCUAGAGAUGCUAGAAUUCUAGAGAAUUUUAUCUUUGAAAAUCUUUAAAAUGUUGCAUGAUGAGUUCAUGUAUGAUGAGAGUUUAAAUUCCUACCACAGCCAUAUAUACAUGCUUGCUAGACUAUGAACCACACAUUUAUUUUACUACUUAUGAGCAUUGAGUGUGGUCAAGCUGUGUAGACCCUUAGGAGCUUGUCAUGCGGUUAAAUCAAGAUUCACUUGCACGUUCACUCAUACAUGCAACUUCUACUUCGGAAGUACGCAUCCACAUAUAUCCACCCAUUUCCAUCUCCAGAACCACCCAAAAAUAUUCUACUCCUAAUCCGGGAGAGAAUAGCUAAAAAAUAUUUCUGUUUUCCCCUGUGAAAUAAAUGCUCAAGUUAUCUUGUUACUACCACUUGCUAUAUUAUUUCAGGAGAUGAGUGCUCUAAGAAAAAAAAGAGAAAGAAUACGAGGAAAUAAAAAGGGGCAAGUGCUCGGACCCUCGAAAGAAAAGAAAAAGUGAGACGAGAGGUAAAAAUGGACAAGUGUCCGACAGUAGAAUUAGGGGUACAAGAUACCCACCUGAGAGAAAAGAAAAAGAAAAUAUAGAGCAUCUCAUUCUCCUCAAAAAGUUUCAAAAGAGCAAGAAAGGUAUGUAUCCCCUCAAAAGAGCAUAAGUAGAAUUAGACUUUCACCAUUGUUAUCACCAUCAUUACCAUGCACCAUUCAUUCGCCACACAUGCACAUCUUGAUUUGACUUAUUGACUUGUUCUUUUGGAUCCAUGGUUUGACUAUGCAAUAAAUGUCUUGUAAGUAUGUAUUAGCUGUCUUCCACCUAUGAGCUCCAGAUAUCAAAAGCCUUAUUAGAGUAGGGUGAGAGAGAAGGCAAUGUCACUAUGCCUCAUACCAAAAAUACCACAUACUUUGAGAGAAAGCAUACACCUUUACUGCCUUGGUAAGGAUCCAGAAAUACCACAAAAGAGAGACUAGAGAGAGUCAUACAAGGAAUCUCUGAGUUUUAUUUGAAAAUCUGCAAAAACUCCAGAGCUAUAGUUAAUCGAAGAAUAAGAGACAUAGAGCUUGAUUAGACCGUUCUAUCUUUUAACUGCUCAAGACACAAGUGACGGUUACCAGCCCCAUGGUGGAAGGUAAAAUGAGUAAGUUUAAAUCUUAACAGUUUACCUUAACCUAGAGAUGAGAUCUUGUUUGAACGCAUGUGUAUCUUUAAGGUAUGAAACCACUGCAGAAACUUUUGAGUUUAUCUUUGCUCAAGGACGAGCAAAGGUUAAGCUUGGGGGAGCUUGUUGACGGUCCUUAAUGCUCACAUUUAACCGCCAACUAAUCAUGGAAAAGGAUCCAAAUGCAACCAACACCCAGACUUAGGGUUUUAUGUGACAGAAUUCCACGAGUUUUGGUGUUUGUCUAUUUCUGCAGGGUGUUAUCAGGAAAUAUGGAAGAAAGGCCCACACGUCGGGUUUACAUAGAGGUAUUAACGUGCUGCGCAAUUUUUUACCAUCUAGAAGACUCCAGAAGCCAUGGGAACGAAACGGAGGCCGAGAGGGCUCAGGCACAGGGCGCCCGCCCACUUCCAGAGACCAAUUCGGACACGUUUCGCGGAUUAUGCUCCACCGACCUAAAGGAUCAAGGAAAACCGUGCGAUUAAAGUCGGUUUGAUCCAACAGCCUAGAUUCACUUGAAGGGACUAUAAAACCAAACCCCCUGGCCCCUGGAGAUCAUACCUCUUCUAUAGAAUCAAAGUUAGGGUUUCAAUUCUUCAUCCAAGUAGAGAGGAUCCCUCUAGUUCUUCUAGUUCUACCUCUAGUUCAUCUAGAUCUAGUUCUAGUUCAUCUAGUUCUAAUUCUAGUUCCUCUAGUUCUAGUUCUAGUUCUAGUUAGUUCUAGUUGUAAUCUAGAAAAUAGGGAGAGAGAAGAGGAGAG